GAUGAAGAACGUAGUGAACUGCGAUAAGUAAUGUGAAUUGCAGAAUUCAGUGAAUCAUCGAGUCUUUGAACGCACAUUGCGCCCCCUGGCAUUCCGGGGGGCAUGCCUGUCCGAGCGUCAUUGCUGCCCUUCAAGCCCGGCUUGUGUGUUGGGUCGUCGUCCCCCCCGGGGGACGGGCCCGAAAGGCAGCGGCGGCACCGCGUCCGGUCCUCGAGCGUAUGGGGCUUUGUCACCCGCUCGAUUAGGGCCGGCCGGGCGCCAGCCGGCGUCUCCAACCUUCUAUUUUACCAGGUUGACCUCGGAUCAGGUAGGGAUACCCGCUGAACUUAAGCAUAUCAAUAAGCGAGGA
This 349-nucleotide unclassified non-coding RNA is filed under the name soil metagenome. Its description in RNAcentral is "partial contains 5.8S ribosomal RNA, internal transcribed spacer 2, and large subunit ribosomal RNA". The stretch from base 1 to 120 matches the Rfam family "5.8S ribosomal RNA", at positions 35 to 154 of the family's 154-position model. The record is from RNAcentral.